UGGCUCAGGUGGUAAAGAAUCUGCCUGCAAUGCAGGAGACCCAGGUUCGACUCCUGG
Molecule: transfer RNA, 57 nt
Organism: Ovis aries (sheep)
Lineage: Eukaryota; Metazoa; Chordata; Mammalia; Artiodactyla; Bovidae
Rfam family: tRNA
About the family: Transfer RNA (tRNA) molecules are approximately 80 nucleotides in length. Their secondary structure includes four short double-helical elements and three loops (D, anti-codon, and T loops).
Source: Rfam